This is a non-coding RNA of Schistosoma curassoni, 45 nucleotides long. NCBI's taxonomy places the organism in Eukaryota, Metazoa, Platyhelminthes, Trematoda, Strigeidida, Schistosomatidae. The record is from Rfam.
AUCCAACUGACGAGUCUCAAAUAGUACGAAACACAUGUCUUAGAU